This 72-nucleotide transfer RNA is filed under the name Myotis davidii. It matches the Rfam family "tRNA". From Rfam's summary of the family: Transfer RNA (tRNA) molecules are approximately 80 nucleotides in length. Their secondary structure includes four short double-helical elements and three loops (D, anti-codon, and T loops). The record is from Rfam by way of RNAcentral. Lineage: Eukaryota; Metazoa; Chordata; Mammalia; Chiroptera; Vespertilionidae.
GGCCAGGUGGCUCAGUUGGUUGGAGCAUCAUCCCAUACACCAAGUUUGCAGGUUCAAUUCCUGCUCAGGGCA